Molecule: long non-coding RNA, 390 nt
Filed under: Capra hircus (goat)
Lineage: Eukaryota; Metazoa; Chordata; Mammalia; Artiodactyla; Bovidae
Description: lncRNA (ENSCHIG00010028725.1)
Source: RNAcentral
UCAGUUCUAGCUCGUCAUGCUUUACUGUCUAAACUCAUCAUGAUUCAGUUCAGGUCAAGCUCCCCUUUGAAAUAUAUCUGUUGGCCUUUUCUUUAGUGUCCAGAGGUCAAACCUAGAGAAAGAAUUUUCUCAUUGAGUAUGCCAGAUAGAAUUCCCAAUCUCCUGUCUUCAGCAGCAACUUAGAAAAUACUGUCACUCAGAUUCACUCCUUUAUUCAAUAUACCAGGCCCUGAGCUCAUCUGAGAGUUGGCAGGACUCUGGAGUUCGGAGGUGAAUUUCCCCUGAGUUGCUCCUGGCUACAUCUUGACCUAGAAAGCUGGAUAAAAUCUCUCAUCUGAAGUGGUCUGUGAAAGUGACCACUGUUCCCCUCCCAGAGCAGCACUCAUCACC